UCCGGUGGCGAUGCGUUUAUGGGAAACACCCGUUCCCAUCCCGAACACGAUGGUUAAGCCAUAAACGGCCGAAGAUACUUAGCUGGUAACGGCUCGGGAAAAUAGGUGGCUGCCGGAU
RNAcentral lists this ribosomal RNA (118 nucleotides) under Clostridiales bacterium. The record is from RNAcentral. Lineage: Bacteria; Bacillati; Bacillota; Clostridia; Eubacteriales.